Triticum urartu is the source of this 1654-nucleotide non-coding RNA. The record is from RefSeq and is a predicted model, not a curated record. NCBI's taxonomy places the organism in Eukaryota, Viridiplantae, Streptophyta, Magnoliopsida, Poales, Poaceae.
ACUAAAAAUGCCCACGAGACGCGCAUCCUCCACUUCACAGCCAUGGCCUCGCAGCAGCCACCACCCUCGCCGCCGCUAUCCGUUCCGACCACCAUUAGCGCUCUCACGGACGACCUCCUCCGCGAGGUCUUUCUCCGCCUCCCUGACCUCCCGAGCCUUGUGUGCGCGGCCUUCACCUGCCGCGCCUUCCUCCGCGCCGUCCGCUCCUCUCCGCCCUUCCGCCGCCGCUUCCGCGAUCUCCACGCACCGCCCCUGCUCGCCCUCUUUCGCGAACCCGACAUGAGCGCUGUCGUCCCUGCCGCAAGCCGCAGCUCCGACCCGGCCAUCGCCGGCGCCUUCGCUGAUUUACUCCGAGACGACGACGCGUCCGAGUGGUGGACAUAUUCUCAGAUCCCCUACUCCGACGAGUUCGUCCAAUUCGUCAACCGGAGCACCGAGCGGGUUGUCUCCUACAACCCCCACAUGCCGUCUCUGGCUAUCUUCCCCAAGAAGCCUCACGAUGAACCCUACCUUGAGUUCCACACGCUCCCUCCCGACCAAGAGCACCAGAGCCCAUCCCGUGUGGUCUGUGUCCGUCACGAUUUCCAAUGGGCGUGCGCGCGCGUGGCCGUCUUCUCAUCUCACGCCAUGAAGUGGCAGAUCUUCCCGGAGUCUCGGAAGCCACUGCUUCAAGGCGACAUGCACACGAUUAGUACGGUUGUCGAUCGGUUCGUCUGUUGGUUAGAUCUGGAGGAAGACUGCAUUCUGGCGCUCAACACUGCCACCUUUCAGUUCUGUCGAAUGGAUCUGCCGCCCUCCUUGAGAGGGUCAUACUCAAAGAUUUAAGAUUGGUCAGACCAGGGAUGGGAGGCUCUGUAUGGUAAAUGUACAGGAAUGCACGCUUUCUGUUUGGCUUUGGACACCCGACGAUGUCGGCAUCGGCAGAUUCGUGCUGCACAAGAUGUUUCCAUUGCACGCAAUUGUCAAGGAGAUCACUAAGCGUCCAGUCAAGGAUAAUGUUGAUGUUGGAGAUCUUAUGGAGGUUAUUAGUGGGUUUGUGUACCUAUCUGUUGUCUACUCCAGGGACCCGCAAUCUUCUGAGUGGUUCCUAUCCUUCUGCCUGGAAACAGCAGAGGUGAACUUGCUCUUUAAGGAAACACGACGUUCUUACUGCCCUGUUGAUCCCUACAUCAUGGUCUGGCCUCCUUCUUUGAUACACAACAAGGAGGGCUCAGAAACUGAAGUUACUGGAGACAGUGCUGGAGCUGAUGGUCCGGUGCACACCAAAGAUGCUUCUCCUGUCCUCUUCACAGCAUUGCAAUCAUUCAAAGAAGCUUUGAUAGAUGGCGAUGGCACCAAAAUCGCGGAGAUGGAGGCCUUCUUACUUGAUGCUGAGCUCGGCUCUCUUCUGAACAGAAUCACUACUUUGGAUGUAGCAUUAGCAGCUGGGAGAGACCGUGUGUUGCGAAUAGGUGCUCGCUCUGAUAUUUGUAGGGAAGAGAUGGGGGGAGAGGGUUGGUGGCAAAUGUUCAAGGGGGUGUUGUGGAGAGCUUCUUCCCGCCUCUUUGCCAGUUGAUCUUGGAUUAAGCUUAGGUGGAAAUGUGUUGCUGAUUAAGUUAUUGGAUGGUGUGAAGUGUGAACUGAACUCAUUAGGUGCUAUCCCUCCGUUCCUAAA